This 253-nucleotide ribosomal RNA is filed under the name uncultured bacterium. RNAcentral's name for it is "partial 16S ribosomal RNA". It matches the Rfam family "Bacterial small subunit ribosomal RNA", at positions 524 to 776 of the family's 1533-position model. The record is from RNAcentral.
UACGUAGGGUGCAAGCGUUAAUCGGAAUUACUGGGCGUAAAGCGUGCGCAGGCGGUGAUGUAAGACAGGUGUGAAAUCCCCGGGCUCAACCUGGGAACUGCAUUUGUGACUGCAUCGCUGGAGUGCGGCAGAGGGGGAUGGAAUUCCGCGUGUAGCAGUGAAAUGCGUAGAUAUGCGGAGGAACACCGAUGGCGAAGGCAAUCCCCUGGGCCUGCACUGACGCUCAUGCACGAAAGCGUGGGGAGCAAACAGG